AUGAGCAGCUGGACAGAGUGCUGGGCUUCUUCACAAGCCUGGUUGAAGCACAGACAACCAGGUGUCACAAUCACGUGGCAUUUGUUAUGGAUGUGCUUCUGCCAGAGGCAACAGUCCACGCCCUUUCAGCUGUCCAUGCAUGUUCCAUUGACAGAGCCACAGAAGUGUAUAAAUGUGGACUGCAGUAUGACUCGAGUGAAAAACGGCUGUUGGCUCAUUACAUGACAAAUGAGCAAGGAGGCAAAACAGCAACUAGAAACAUAUGCUGAAUAACUCAGAAGAGCUCUGGACUCUGAGGAGUUUUUGAAGAGGCUUUAGUAUUUAUGUAGGAUGAAUUAAAAAAUAGUCUGUGAAAUGAUAAUGUUUUAUUUUAUUGCCAAUAAAAGUUGUUGCUGGCUAAUUCAUUUGUCUCAACUUUUGUGUUUUGAGGUACAUAUUUUAAAGACCUGUGUAUGGUCAUAUUUAUAAAUACAUAAAUACAUUUUAUUUGUGUCAAAGGGCCAGCAGUCUUUUCUGUUAACCCAUAAGAAAUCAUCACCUUAGAGUGAUAAUUAUGGCAUCUGAUGUAGUAGGCCAAGCUCUGUGACAGUGUGGCUCUUAGAAAAACGGCUGGUGGAAACAACCUAUUUUAAUCGAAAUGACUACUACUAAUUAUUAUUAUUAUUAUUGUAAAUAUUUUAUUUUAUCGAGUUUAAAAUAACCUUGUACAGAUACAUUAGUCACUUAUAUAAAAAAUGAAAAGAUGCAUGCACCAGAUUUAGCAGUCCUAUAUAAUCUUUUAUCAGAUUAAUCUUUUAUCCCAAUCUUUUAUUUUUUUUAUUACUUAACUUUCUAUUUUUGUAUAUAUUUAUUGUUUCAAGCACAUUGUUUGCAUU
This 875-nucleotide long non-coding RNA is filed under the name Sparus aurata (gilthead seabream). Its description in RNAcentral is "lncRNA (ENSSAUG00010009099.1)". The record is from RNAcentral. Lineage: Eukaryota; Metazoa; Chordata; Actinopteri; Spariformes; Sparidae.